ACUGGUGGUUCAUUUUUCCACUCCGCUAAACUGUCAUCUCAAACAAAAACAAAUGGAUCAUACAACUGCUAUGAAUACAUUCGACUCGUUUGCUUCCAUCAAUCGGUAAGUGAGAAAGAUGUUUUCUCCCAUCACCACAGUGCGGAUUUCCACUUCUAUCACAGCAGCCAACAACAUCCGUUUUCCUGCAGCAGCAACCUCCAACCCCUGUUGGCAAUGCCGGGGGACAGCAUCAACAGCAGCAGCAGCAAAAUUUGACCAUGGUAUGGUAUUGCGAAGAACUUUCCCCAUUUGAGGUUCGUGCUUCGCGCACAUUCAAAAAUCCUCUUCAGACACGAAAACUCAACGACAAGGAGGUAUUUAUCAACUUGCUCAGCUGAAUUACCACCCGGAGGAACCCGAAUGCACUAAUUCCAUUGUAUAGUAGAAUGAAAAUAGGUGAGGUAAGCGAACGUAAUCGCAUGUUAAUUUAAUGUUCGCAUUUUUAUCCGGAUCAUACAACUGUUAUGAAUACAUCCGACUCAAUCAAUCGGCAAGUGAGAAAGAUGAUUUCCCACAUUGCUUAUUUCCCCUUCUGUCACACCAGCCAACAGCAUCAGCUUUCCCGCAGCAGUAUCCUUUAAGUCCAGGGUGCUAUUCCGGGGAACAGCAUCAACAGCAACAGCAGCAGGACCUGGCCAUCGAUAGUAUUUCGAGCAAUUUUCCCCAUCGGAGAUCCCGUGCUUCACGCACAUUGAAGAAUCCUCCUCAGCCACAUAUCUGUGUCAUCAAGGGCAAGGAGGUAUUCAUCAAUGUACUCAGUCGGAUUUGAAUCGUCAAUCCAGAAAACCCGGAUGCACCGAUUCCAUUAUAUA
RNA transcript from Toxorhynchites rutilus septentrionalis, 854 nucleotides. RefSeq lists it as uncharacterized. The transcript has 3 exons. The record is from RefSeq and is a predicted model, not a curated record. NCBI's taxonomy places the organism in Eukaryota, Metazoa, Arthropoda, Insecta, Diptera, Culicidae.